This is a long non-coding RNA of Lemur catta (Ring-tailed lemur), 446 nucleotides long. RefSeq lists it as uncharacterized. The transcript has 3 exons. The record is from RefSeq and is a predicted model, not a curated record. Lineage: Eukaryota; Metazoa; Chordata; Mammalia; Primates; Lemuridae.
CUUACUGCAGCAGAAAAGAAGUCAUAGUCACAUUGAAAUCUGGGAAAUUAAUUUGUUUGGAUCCUGAGGCUGAAUGGGUGAUGACAAUUAUCAAAAAGAUUAUGGACAGGGCCCCUAACUGAUGGCCACACAAGGAACAUCACAUCCUAUGGGUGACAAGAGCCCUUGGUGCCACCGUGAACUUGGACAUCGUCCAGAGUUUUCUUUGAAGGUGGCACCAUUUUUAUGCUAAUAGAGGACUAGAAUGAACUGCUUUCUCUACUCAUAGUUUUCAGGCAGGUAAUUGGCUACCUGAGAGAGGAGUAAUGGCAGGUGGAGCAAUCACAUUUCCAUCAUGUAGGAAGGAUAAUCCCUAAAGCUCAUAAGGCAGGUGAGGGUUUCCCUGUAGGCUCAAAAUAUCUCACCAGAGUCCAUCCCCUCCAUAGCUGUCCCCUACCACUCUUUGC